ACCUUCUCCCAAUGAUGAAGCCAAAGACCAUGAACACCAAAAUGAUGGUCCCAGCUACAGCAACCACAGCAAUGAUAAUAACAGGAUUCUGUUCACUGGAGACAGCUGUAGCUGUAAACAGAGGGACAAGUGUCAAUUAUGGACAGGAGAUUUAUGGGACGGGAAAGAUAAAGCCCAAUUUACAAAUCAUUUCCCGUGCAAGCAGACAGGUGC
Molecule: long non-coding RNA, 213 nt
Filed under: Homo sapiens (human)
Lineage: Eukaryota; Metazoa; Chordata; Mammalia; Primates; Hominidae
Description: HSALNT0110066
Source: RNAcentral